AGAAGGGAGCUUGCUCCCGGAUGUUAGCGGCGGACGGGUGAGUAACACGUGGGUAACCUGCCUGUAAGACUGGGAUAACUCCGGGAAACCGGAGCUAAUACCGGAUAGUUCCUUGAACCGCAUGGUUCAAGGAUGAAAGACGGUUUCGGCUGUCACUUACAGAUGGACCCGCGGCGCAUUAGCUAGUUGGUGGGGUAAUGGCUCACCAAGGCGACGAUGCGUAGCCGACCUGAGAGGGUGAUCGGCCACACUGGGACUGAGACACGGCCCAGACUCCUACGGGAGGCAGCAGUAGGGAAUCUUCCGCAAUGGACGAAAGUCUGACGGAGCAACGCCGCGUGAGUGAUGAAGGUUUUCGGAUCGUAAAGCUCUGUUGUUAGGGAAGAACAAGUGCGAGAGUAACUGCUCGCACCUUGACGGUACCUAACCAGAAAGCCACGGCUAACUACGUGCCAGCAGCCGCGGUAAUACGUAGGUGGCAAGCGUUGUCCGGAAUUAU
Molecule: ribosomal RNA, 499 nt
Filed under: Bacillus safensis
Lineage: Bacteria; Bacillati; Bacillota; Bacilli; Caryophanales; Bacillaceae
Description: bacterial SSU rRNA
Rfam family: Bacterial small subunit ribosomal RNA
Source: RNAcentral